This is a ribosomal RNA of 402 nucleotides. It matches the Rfam family "Bacterial small subunit ribosomal RNA", at positions 355 to 774 of the family's 1533-position model.
UGGGGAAUAUUGGGCAAUGGGCGAAAGCCUGACCCAGCAACGCCGCGUGAAGGAUGAAGGUUUUCGGAUUGUAAACUUCUUUGACGAGGGACGAUAAUGACGGUACCUCGAAAACAAGCCACGGCUAACUACGUGCCAGCAGCCGCGGUAAUACGUAGGUGGCGAGCGUUGUCCGGAAUUACUGGGUGUAAAGGGCGUGUAGGCGGGAUUAAAAGUCAGAUGUGAAAUACCGGAGCUUAACUUCGGGGCUGCAUUUGAAACUUUAGUUCUUGAGUGAUGGAGAGGCAAGUGGAAUUCCUAGUGUAGCGGUGGAAUGCGUAGAUAUUAGGAGGAACACCAGUGGCGAAGGCGACUUGCUGGACAUUAACUGACGCUGAGGCGCGAAAGCGUGGGGAGCAAACA